UCAGGACUAACCCCCUUUUAAA
Molecule: transfer RNA, 22 nt
Filed under: Phyzelaphryne miriamae (Miriam's frog)
Lineage: Eukaryota; Metazoa; Chordata; Amphibia; Anura; Eleutherodactylidae
Description: partial tRNA-Phe
Source: RNAcentral